UACUCAUAACUCUUUUUCCCCCUUGUUUCCAAAGUACUUAUUUUUCUUUUGUAUUUUCGUUUAUGUAAAACUUAUAAGUCUGCAGUGUUCAUUUUCUCAAGAAAGUGAUUUAAAUAUUUUGGUUGCAAAGAAUAAUACUGCAAUUCUGUUUCCCCGAACAAGAAGAUAGACUAAUCUUUUCCACAAGAAAAGACAUGGUACUGUUGUCAUCCUCUGUUACUUAGCCAAAUAUGUACACACAAGCACUGACAUCAUAUAUUAUAUUCAGAGUGCCAGGAGCUCAAAAUGGCCAUUUGGUAUAUUAGGGAUGAUUUGGAUUGAAAGAAAGAGCGUGGAUGUAUUUGUUAUGAGCUUUGCAAUGUCCUCCAAAUAAUCCUUCUAAAACAAGCAAAAUGUUUUUUUUU
This is a non-coding RNA of Arachis ipaensis, 404 nucleotides long. The record is from RefSeq and is a predicted model, not a curated record. Lineage: Eukaryota; Viridiplantae; Streptophyta; Magnoliopsida; Fabales; Fabaceae.